This 753-nucleotide ribosomal RNA is filed under the name Pseudomonas putida. Its description in RNAcentral is "bacterial SSU rRNA". It matches the Rfam family "Bacterial small subunit ribosomal RNA", at positions 56 to 829 of the family's 1533-position model. The record is from RNAcentral. Lineage: Bacteria; Pseudomonadati; Pseudomonadota; Gammaproteobacteria; Pseudomonadales; Pseudomonadaceae.
UGCAGUCGAGCGGAUGAGGAAGCUUGCGCCUGUGUUUCCUGACCGGACGGGUGAGAAGGCCUAUGAAUGUGACUGUGCCUGAUGGACAACGAUUCUAAGGAAAGCUAAUACCACAUACGUCCUACGUCAGAAGACCAGGGACCUUCACCUCUUGCCCUCUUGCAUGAGCCUGUGCCCGAUUAGCUAUAUGUAGGGGUAAUGGCUCACCCUCGCCACGAUCCCUAUCUGUACUGAGAGGAUGAUCAGGCACACUGGAACUGAAACUGGGACCAGACUCCUACUCCAGGCAGCAGCGGGGAAUAUUGAUAUUGGGGCGAAAGCCUGAUCCAGACGUGCCCCGUGUGUGAGUAAGGUCUUCGGAUUGUAAAUGACUUUAACUUGGGAGGAAGGGGAUUAAACUAAUACUUUGCCUUUUGACGUUACCGACAGAAUAAGAACCGGCUAACUCUGUGCCCGCACCCGCGGUAAUACAAAGGGUGCAAGCGUUAAUCGGAAUUACUGGACUGAAAGCGCGCGUAACUGGUUUGUUAAGUUGGAUGUGAUGUCCCCGCCCUCAACCUCGGCAUGUGCAUCCAAUACUGAUACUGCUAAACUAGAGUCUAGGAUGGUGGAAUUUCCUGCGUAGCGUAGAGAUGCGUAGAUAUAGAGAUCGAACACCAGUAGCCGAAGGGCGACCACCUGCCCCUGAUACUAGACACCUGACGGCUGCAGAAAGCCGAUGGGCGAGCAGACGACGGAUCUAGAUAUACCAUG